Molecule: ribosomal RNA, 273 nt
Filed under: uncultured bacterium
Lineage: Bacteria
Description: partial 16S ribosomal RNA
Rfam family: Bacterial small subunit ribosomal RNA
Source: RNAcentral
CUGUAUUAGUUAGUUGGUGUGGUAACGGCACACCAAGGCUACGAUCAGUAACUGGUCUGAGAGGAUGAUCAGUCACACUGGAACUGAGACACGGUCCAGACUCCUACGGGAGGCAGCAGUGAGGAAUAUUGGGCAAUGCUCGAAAGAGUGACCCAGCAACGCCGCGUGAAGGAUGAAGGUAUUCUAUAUCGUAAACUCCUGUGAGAGCAGACGAAAGACAGAUUAUUAAUCUGGAUGACUGUAUGCUCAGAGGAAGCCCCGGCUAACUACGUG